GAUGAACGCUAGCGGCAGGCUUAACACAUGCAAGUCAGGGGGUAACAUAGAAAAGCUUGCUUUUCUGAUGACGACCGGCGCACGGGUGCGUAACGCGUAUACAACCUACCUUUUAUCGGGGGAAUAGCCCAGGGAAACUUGGAUUAAUGCCCCAUAGUAUAUGGACUUCUCCUGAAGUUUAUAUUAAACAUUUAUGGCUAUUAGAUGGGUAUGCGUCCUAUUAGUUAGUUGGUAAGGUAACGGCUUACCAAGGCAGCGAUAGGUAGGGGUCCUGAGAGGGAGAUCCCCACACUGGUACUGAGACACGGACCAGACUCCUACGGGAGGCAGCAGUGAGGAAUAUUGGACAAUGGGCGAGAGCCUGAUCCAGCCAUGCCGCGUGCAGGAAGACUGCCCUAUGGGUUGUAAACUGUCUUUUACAGAGGAAGAACCCACCCCACGUGUGGGGGUUUGACGGUACUCUGCGAAUAAGGAUCGGCUAACUCCGUG
This 489-nucleotide ribosomal RNA is filed under the name uncultured bacterium. RNAcentral's name for it is "bacterial SSU rRNA". It matches the Rfam family "Bacterial small subunit ribosomal RNA", at positions 28 to 507 of the family's 1533-position model. The record is from RNAcentral.